AUUGAACGCUGGCGGCAUGCCCUACACAUGCAAGUCGAACGGCAGCACGGGUGCUUGCACCUGGUGGCGAGUGGCGAACGGGUGAGUAAUACAUCGGAACGUACCUUAUCGUGGGGGAUAACGCAGCGAAAGCUGUGCUAAUACCGCAUACGCCCUGAGGGGGAAAGCGGGGGAUCGCAAGACCUCGCGCGAUUAGAGCGGCCGAUGCCUGAUUAGCUAGUUGGUGGGGUAAAAGCCCACCAAGGCGACGAUCAGUAGCUGGUCUGAGAGGACGAUCAGCCACACUGGGACUGAGACACGGCCCAGACUCCUACGGGAGGCAGCAGUGGGGAAUUUUGGACAAUGGGGGCAACCCUGAUCCAGCAAUGCCGCGUGAGUAAAGAAGGCCUUCGGGUUGUAAAGCUCUUUUGUCAGGGAAGAAACACCGGCUCUAACACAGUCCGGGAAUGACGGUACCUGAAGAAUAAGCACCGGCUAACUACGUGCCAGCCGCCGCCGUAA
Molecule: ribosomal RNA, 501 nt
Filed under: uncultured bacterium
Lineage: Bacteria
Description: partial 16S ribosomal RNA
Rfam family: Bacterial small subunit ribosomal RNA
Source: RNAcentral